Long non-coding RNA from Rhododendron vialii, 650 nucleotides. RefSeq lists it as uncharacterized. The transcript has 5 exons. NCBI's taxonomy places the organism in Eukaryota, Viridiplantae, Streptophyta, Magnoliopsida, Ericales, Ericaceae. The record is from RefSeq and is a predicted model, not a curated record.
CGAUCUCUGACCGUUGGCUUAUUCUAUUUUUUUAUUUAUUUGUUACAUAAAGGUUUUUUGUUAGGGUUUGAAUUGGUAGAUAGGAUUCGUCUUUUUGCGUUGAUUUCGAUUUCGACUCCUUUUUUAUCAUGGAGCCUCGCGUCGGUAAUAAGUUCCGGCUCUGCCGGAAGAUCGGUAGCGGCUCAUUUGGAGAGAUCUAUCUCGGUACUAAUAUCCAGACGAAUGAAGAAGUUGCUAUUAAGCUCGAUGAUCCUCGAAACGGAUGGCAAUGCUAUUGCUGAAAAAGUGGCAACCCACAGCGUGGAUGACGGUGCACCCUUGUCUGAGCAGACUAUAAGUCAAGCUUUGGCUAAAUGAAGCAUCUGGGAGGGUAACUAGAGAAAACAAAUUGGCCUUCAUUCUUUGAGUAAAUUCACAAAUAAGACAGCAAUUUGGAAGCUGUUUCGUUGAUACUCGGACAGUGAAACAUCACGGCAGUCAGCUGCUUAUUGUUAGCAUCUUUACAUUCCCAAGUCAAUAAGUAAUUCGGCAAGUCGGAUAAAUUGCUUUCUGGGUGAACGAAUAAUCUCACCUUUAUGCUCUUACAAGGUGCACUUAUAUUUUGUGGUUGAUUUCCCAGUUGAGCUAUAUAAACCUCUCUUUUCUACUGU